Molecule: non-coding RNA, 1016 nt
Organism: Chrysemys picta bellii (western painted turtle)
Lineage: Eukaryota; Metazoa; Chordata; Testudines; Emydidae
Source: RefSeq, a predicted model, not a curated record
CCUAGGUACGUGCCCGCGCGGGGUCGCGCUCGCUCGGUGCUCUGCGCUCGGUUGGUGCUGGUGGUGGCCGGUUCCCGGUAGGGAGCGGCCUUCUCCGCGUCCGGCCGGGGCUGCCUCAGCGCCUGCCGCUCCGGGUGUGGUUGAACAGUGCAGAAAUUGACUUCAGACUAGCAGCUGGAGAGUGGAGAGACUGCUCCCUGCCCUAUCUGCAGAGAUUUUUAAACAGGUUCGGAAGACUCCCAGGAUGAAGCUGCUGUGAGGAGCUUGAGGGGCCAGCACACAGGCUUUCAGGGCUCCCUUUCUGAGUGGAAUACAGUAUUGGAGUCUGCAGGAAAAAUGACUGUGGGAUUUGUACUGCUUCCCCCUCUGCUGGGGAGGACUUUGCUUACGCUUCUGGUGGUGGUUACCUUUGUUCAAUGCCAUUGGCCCAGUGAACCUUCCGAAGUUGUACAGGACUGGGAAAACCAGUUAGAGGCCUCCAUGCAUUCUGUGCUGUCAGAUCUCCGUGAGACGGUCCCAGCAGUGGUGGGGAUUCCAGACAGCUCUGCUGUGGUGGGACGCUCCUUCAGAGUCACCAUCCCCACAGAUUUAAUUGCUUCCAAUGGAGAAAUGGUGCAGGUGAGAAAUGCAUCAGCCAGCCUCAUAUCUCACAAUUCCCUUCCUUGCAGUCAUGCCCUGGGGAGGGACUGGGCCUGUCUCCGCACCAGUGUGACACAUGGGUUUGGACGGAUAGGUCAUAAGUGGUCAUGAUUCAGACGGGAGAAAGGGGGAGGCUGUUGGAUUUGGUGAUAGCUGGGAGGAAGAAACGUCCAUUUCCCUCUUCUGGAAAUUCACUGUGUAGUGCCCCCUCUUCACCUGGUUACCUUAUUUAAUGCCAAUCUGCUUACAGGUGUUGAUGGACAGGUCUGGGUUCUUCUGGAUCCCGCAACUCACUCAGCAGGCUGUAUCUUCUUUAUUUUUUCCUAUGAAUUUAUUUGGCGGUGCCUCCACCCCCCUCGCUCCUUCCUGGCAGGGUC